UUUUCAUGUGGCGGACGGGUGAGUAUUGAGAAUUUGCCCUUAUGGCAGAGGAUAACAAUUAGAAAUAAUUGCUAAAACUCUAUAUGUUGGAAACAAUGAAAAAAGAAAUUUGCCUAAGGAGAAGCUCACAUUUGAUUAGCUAGUUGGUAGGGUAAGAGCCUACCAAGGCGACGAUCAAUAGUUGGUCUGAGAGGACGAUCAGCCACACUGGAACUGAGACACGGUCCAGACUCCUACGGGAGGCAGCAGUGAGGAAUAUUCCGCAAUGGGCGAAAGCCUGACGGAGCAACGCCGCGUGAGGGAUGAAGGCCUACGGGUUGUAAACCUCUUUUUCCAAGGAGGAAGAUCUGACGUUACUUGGAGAAUAAGCAUCGGCUAACCCUGUGCCAGCAGCCGCGGUAAUACAGGGAUGCAUGUUACCGGAUUCAUUGGGCGUAAGCGUCUACAG
RNAcentral lists this ribosomal RNA (448 nucleotides) under uncultured bacterium. RNAcentral describes it as "bacterial SSU rRNA". It matches the Rfam family "Bacterial small subunit ribosomal RNA", at positions 88 to 574 of the family's 1533-position model. The record is from RNAcentral.